CCUGGGCCAGGACUGGGCAGCAUGGUGAAACCGCUUCCCUACAAAAAAAAUACGAAAAUUAGCUUGGCAUAGUGGCACACAUCUGUACUACCAACUACUUGAGAGGCUGAGGUGGGAGGGUCACUUGAGCCCGGGAGGUUGAGGCUACAGUGAGCCAGGAUCAUGCCACUGGACCCUAACCUGGGCGACAGAGCAAACUCUGUCUCAUAAAUAAAUAAAUAAAAUAAAAAUAAUUCAUAGAGGAAGUUCUUAUUUACUCUCAUGCUUUUAAAAUAUUUCAUCUGAGUGGGAAAUUAUCCAGAGAAUAUGGGAUACAAAAAAAGAAAACAAUUUCUUCUGGGACUUCUAAUUUCCCAGUGACUAAAUAUUUUAUACUAGAAUAUCUGCACAGUCAAAGUAAUGUCAAGAUAUAAAUUAACUCUCUUAAGAAGAGACUCCUACAGUAAUCGGUGAGCUUGAAAGGAAUACAUCUAUAUCUUGGCACACAGAAUAACUUCAGGAUAUUAGUAUAAAUUAUCAACAAUUCUCAUUAAGUUCAGAAGGAACUAGUACUAUUUUGUUGCUAUUUUUAGCAUCUAAAUCAUAUAAUUCUUUAAAAUAAAAUCAUAACAGUAGAAGUAUUAGCUUAAGGCAACUUAUGCAACAUAAGUAGUCUGAGUUAAAGGAAAUGUUUAAAGGGACCGGAACCCAGGAGGCGGAGAUUGCAAUGAGCCAAGAUCAUGUCAUUGCACUCCAACCUGGUAACAGAGCAAGACUCUGUCUCAAAAAAACAAAACACACACCCAAAAAAAACAAAACAAAAUGUGUUAGCAAAUUUCCCAGUGAAUUUAGCACCACCUCUUUCAAAGACCAGCUUUUGGACCUAACUCAGCCUGGGGAAGGAACAAAGUGCAGUCUUUUCUGAGACUGCAGACAGCCCCACAAUUUCCCAGGAACUUCUGAGAAAUUAUUCAAAGCCUGAGAGGGACUGGCAAACAGGAGAGAUGAAAGGACUACACAGAAAGUAUGGGGAUGGGAUGGGAGAAAGGGGCAGAGGCUGAAGGUCAGGGCUUCCAGAAGAGACUAUUUUCACAGGCUGAAGGUGUUGAGCUGAGGAAGUUAGGGUGGGGCUGGUAGCAAAGAAAAUAACAAUUAAGCACACAAAGGGAGCUAACUGAUCAUUGAACAGCACCCUUCUGCUUUGCUCUUACAAAAAGCAGUAACAGGCAUCGCACGCAUUAGCCAGCCAUCGCCCUGCACUGCUGGGC
This 1247-nucleotide long non-coding RNA is filed under the name Callithrix jacchus (white-tufted-ear marmoset). Its description in RNAcentral is "lncRNA (ENSCJAG00000077048.1)". The record is from RNAcentral. Lineage: Eukaryota; Metazoa; Chordata; Mammalia; Primates; Cebidae.